CCUACGGGAGGCAGCAGUGGGGAAUUUUGGACAAUGGGGGAAACCCUGAUCCAGCCAUCCCGCGUGUAUGAUGAAGGCCUUCGGGUUGUAAAGUACUUUUGGCAGAGAAGAAAAGGUAUCCCCUAAUACGGGAUACUGCUGACGGUAUCUGCAGAAUAAGCACCGGCUAACUACGUGCCAGCAGCCGCGGUAAUACGUAGGGUGCAAGCGUUAAUCGGAAUUACUGGGCGUAAAGCGUGUGUAGGCGGUUCGGAAAGAAAGAUGUGAAAUCCCAGGGCUCAACCUUGGAACUGCAUUUUUAACUGCCGAGCUAGAGUAUGUCAGAGGGGGGUAGAAUUCCACGUGUAGCAGUGAAAUGCGUAGAUAUGUGGAGGAAUACCGAUGGCGAAGGCAGCCCCCUGGGAUAAUACUGACGCUCAGACACGAAAGCGUGGGGAGCAAACAGGAUUAGAUACCCUGGUAGUCCACGCCCUAAACGAUGUCAACUAGCUGUUGGGGCCGUUAGGCCUUAGUAGCGCAGCUAACGCGUGAAGUUGACCGCCUGGGGAGUACGGUCGCAAGAUUAAAACUCAAAGGAAUUGACGG
This 585-nucleotide ribosomal RNA is filed under the name uncultured bacterium. RNAcentral describes it as "bacterial SSU rRNA". It matches the Rfam family "Bacterial small subunit ribosomal RNA", at positions 338 to 916 of the family's 1533-position model. The record is from RNAcentral.